Molecule: long non-coding RNA, 17048 nt
Filed under: Equus caballus (horse)
Lineage: Eukaryota; Metazoa; Chordata; Mammalia; Perissodactyla; Equidae
Description: lncRNA (ENSECAG00000046489.1)
Source: RNAcentral
UGCAUGUUCAACUUCCCCACUAUUCUUAUACAUUCCUGGAGUGAGUAUUCUUUGGUACAGCUGUUCUAAGGCGAAUUCAGCCUCCUAUAUGAACAGCUUUACAAAUGUUCAUACCCUUUAUUUCAGAGAACUAAUCACAGAUGUGCACAAAGGCCUAUCUAUACCAUUGUUAGUAAUAACAAACAAGCAAACAGGAAAACCAGGAAAGAACCCAAGUGAUGUAGAGUAGGGAACUGAUUUUUUAAAAAUCUGGCACAUUAUACAAUGGAAAACUAUAUAGCCAAUGAUAAUGACGGUAUCAGAAACACAUAAGGACGUGGAAAAACCUUCCCACCAUAUGUUAGGUAGAAACACAAAGACAAGAAACCAGGAUACAAAAUUGUAUACACAUCAUGAUUCUCUAAUUUCUAAAAAUUACAUUAUUUAUUUAUUUAUUCAUCUAUUUUUUGGUGAGGAAGAUUCACCCUGAGCUAACAUCUGUUGCCAAUCUUCCUCUGUUUUGUAUGUGGGAUGCCUCCACAGCAUGACUGUGGAGUGGAGUAGGUCCACGCCUGGGAUCUGAACCCAUGAACCCGGGUUGCCAAAGUGGAGCACGUGGAACUCUAACCAUUCAGCCACAGGGCCAGCCCCUAAAAAUUACAUUUUUUAUGCACAAAAGAAGACUGGAAUGAUAAUACCAAAAUGUUAAUAAUCGUUCUCCCUAAUGGUGUGAUUAUGGCUGAUUUUUAUUUUCUCUGUAAAUUUCUGUGUAACUUUUUAUAAUAAGAAAAAGUUAUUUUUAAAAGGAAUCUCUGUCUCAACAUUAAAAUAUGCUUUUCUAUUUACAUGAUACAUUAAUAAAUUUAUGACAAAGUCAAACAUAUCGGAAUAGCUGAAAUGAAAGACUGGAUCCCUGUGAAAUACCCACUAGGUUCUAAGAAGUUAGAAUGUUACAACUGUGUUUCACAUACGCAAGACUAAAAUAGUUUCAUUGUACUGCAUUCUCCUUAUCUAGAUAAACCAUACUGAACGUUUCAUUUAAGCACACUGGAUUUUCAGCGUUUUAAUAAAGUUUAGUUUUUCUUUUCCUUUCUUUUGGUGAUAUCCCCCAAAUAGACGUUACCUUCUAUCUCUUUGGAGCACUUGGAUCUCUUAAUUGAAGAGAAGUAUCUCAUUCCAGAGCACAAAGCACCUCGAUAAGUUGUUUCAAGAACAUUGCAAAUAAAACAUAUUUAGACUGCGUCAUCACAUUAAGAUAUCACUGUAUUAAAACACAUUCCUCAGCAAUUACUUACAUAUAAACUUUCUCUUUUAACUGCGUUCCUGGAGAAUUAUCUUCUUUAAAGCUCAUUUUGGAAAACUUCACUCUUUUUUUUCUGAUGACAACCUGUUUUAAGAGCUCUCAGAAACUUAUAUAGUGCAGGGAAGUACUGUUGGGUUUCUUGACAUGAAAAAUAAGAACAAUGCCAGAAUGAUUAGUUAACUCACUAAACAGUGAAGGAAAAGGACACUUUUAGGUUUGCUCAUGCAACUACUUGAAAGAUUCAAAAAGGUUAAUGUUCCUAGAUUAGUGGUUAUGCAAUUUCAAGCGACUUUUUAAAUAUAUAAUUCUUGAAGCUCAGAUAGAAUUCUAGCAUUCUUGUGGGUUUAAAGAUGAAAUGUUUAAAAGGAUUGGGAAUGAAUUUAUUAAAAGAGAGGCUGCAGAAGAGCUGACAGAAGGUGCCACACUGGAGGAGAACACACACACACACAUGCAUGUGCGCACACACACCCAACUAUUCACCCAGCCCCGACAGCAAACUGAGCUCAGUUCUGAGAAUUUGACUAUGAGCCAAUGCCUGCCCCAGGGAGUGAGUUUAGCACAGGUCGACACAGUCUGAGAGGGGAGCAGCCAUUGAAGCAAGAACAUAAGAGCCAGCAACCUCGAAACUGGAGAUGAUGGCUUCAGACCUGAAUUCCAUGUCGGGAAUAUAGGAUCUAAAUGGAUGGAGAGGUGCGUUGUUUUCUAGAGUAUCACAGGGCUAUAAACAGGGAUAAGAGGAGAAAAGUAACUAAUACAUGAAAAAUCUAAUGGACAAGUGAUUAUCAGCAAAAUGCCUGGCUGGAGCUGGAAGCCUGGGGGCCACCUACCACAGCUGUUUUCACUCACACACUCUUAGCACAGUCUUGCCUUGUCCUGCACUGUCCUUGUCACCUCAGGCUCACCCUCCUCCAACCCUCCUGCUGCACAGAAAUGCCUUCCUUGAAGAUCGCUCUCACCUGGUGACAGGAGUGGGCAGUGGGGCCAGCCCAUCAGGUUUCCUAAUCCCACAAAGGAAGGAAAGGCCCACCAGUGUCCCCUCAGAGCCCACUGCCCACAACCCACACUGUCGGGCAUUUUUGCCUUUGACUCUGGUAUCAUCACAUCCAUUUUUCUCCCAGGGAGACAGUCUUAUCUUAGGUCUCUCGGCUAAGAAGUAGCAGCAGCACGAUUUAACAUCAGUUCCGCUUUUCUCCAAAACUCAGGUGCUUUUAAUCACACCAUAAAGCCCAUCAGAGUGCUAGUCCUAAACAUAAAGGUUCAAAAUUUUUUUCACGAAAUGUAGGUUUUAGACCCUUAACAAGUGGGGGCAAGAAUUUCUGACAGAAGCUGGUUUUGAAACUCCGGUUCUUAGGCUUCCUUUUCUUUCUCCCUCUGUGUUCAUUCACUCGUUCCCCUCUCUGGUCUUUCUCCCUUUAGCUUUUCCUUCUUCUAAUCUUAAGGGCAGGCGUUAGCCCCACCUGAUAUCCUGCCUUCCCUCUCUGGCGUAGACAACUGACGUUUUCUCCACCGCAUGUUGCGCACAGCUUCAAAGCAAGUCCCCUCGCCACACUCUUUCUAUCCAGGCUGGUGCACCAAUCCCAUGCUUCAUAGAUGCAUGGAUGUGCCAGGUCCAUGUUCUUGUGCAUCUAUUAAAUACCGUCUGAAUAUCCAGAACACCGUGCCUCUCAAGAAGCCAGGCCAGGAGCCCUGGCUGCCCCCACCAUUCCUGCAGUGCCCUUUCUGGAUCUUACUUUCCUCCAAUGGGCUGGAAUCCCAGGCUUUUCAUUUUCCCUACCCCUGUGUGAAGAAAAGAGAAAGAAUGUUCAGCAGCUAGGUGGAUGCAGGACAGGGACCCUUCCAUAUAAAGCCCCCGAAGAACAACUGAAAAUUGAACACAUGCCUUAAUUGUCUUCAGUUUCAAGCCUUGUGUUUUCCAAUAAGAAAAUGUUCUCCAUGGAAACAAUUGUUCUGGGGAUAAAAGACGAGGUCAUAUGAAGGUUAUAUACGGUCCUAUAAAAAGUCAUAUAAAAGACGAGGUUAUGAAGGUCAUAGCAGGCCCAUGGUGAGGAAGUGUGAGCGGAAGAAUGACUGGCCUGGUUCACACCAGGGGCCCCGGCUCUCCAGUUGGGGGUAGGGACAGGGGCAGGUAUGAGCGUGGCCUCUGUCCUCCUCUGGACACUUAUGUGAGGCUGCCUUUUGCUCCAAAAUCUGCUGUAACCUGAAAUGAAACACCUGAGCCAUAAAACAGAUGGGCUGAGAUUCAGGAAGGCCCACUCAGACGUCCUUACCAAUGGUGAGCAGAGGUCUGUUUGUAAAUAGAUUAGGAGGAUCAGACUGGUGGAUCAAAGGUGGGUAGUUAUAAAGCAGUAAUAUUUGGUGUGUGUGUGUGUGAGAGAGAGAGAGAGAGAGAGAAGCUUGUAUACUAUUUCAGACACAUUCAAGUGUAUUUGAGUAAGAGACAUCAGGCUCAGCUCAGGUGUUGCCUCCUCCAGGAAGCCUUCCCUGACUGCUCCUGGCAUGGCCUGCAGGGUGGGUUAGGCCUUCCUCCCACAUAUGCGGUAACCACUCAGCAUACCCAGCAGUACAUUCACUCAGUAUACUCCCGAGCUUGCGAACUCCUUGAGGACCAGGACUGUGUCUUUUUUGUCUCUACAACACCCACACUCAGUCGAGGGCCUGGCACAUAGUAGGCCUUCAAGCCCUGUGCGUGGCAUUGGAAGUGAGACUUCUUAAGAUUUAGGCAGUUGGAGGCAGGGUAAUUAGCAGUUUACCUUCAAGGGCUAUGGAGCCAGACUUCCUGAGACAGAGCCUACCAUCAGCCGGUAGUAACUGUGGGCUCUUGGGCCUCGAUUUUCUCAUCUGUAAAAUGGAGGUGUGACUGGCACCUGCCUCUUUGGACUGGUGUGUGUUGAACAAGAUAAUCUUACUCUAUUAUUAGGUAGAGGGAGCUUUCCAGAAUAGGAACAAAUGAACUAUAGUCCUGUCCCGACUUUUCCUCUAACCCGGGUCUUAGAGACCAACUCAUCCUAAAUCCUGUCUCCCUCAGUGUGACGUGUGAACGCAGCUGGAUCUUCUGGAAACAGCAUCUGGUCAUGUCUCUCAAGAGUCUGGGCUCUGUGACCAGGGGCCCGUGACUGCUGUCUGCUCAGGGAGCAGGUCACUUUAACUUUGGCAUUUCCCAGGAAGCUGAUGACAUCAGCCUGGUUCUGUCCACUUACGGGCAGUGGACAUCAGCCCCCUUCUGCGCACUUAAGCACUUCUCGCUGGUUGCUGUCUUACAGGAUGACCAUCGGAAAUUUGGAGUGGUGUUUAUUUCCUUGGUGCUUCCAAAGCUCUAGAUAGUUCACAGAUUGGGUAUUUCUCGGAAUUAACAUCCUCCCUAAAAGGAUUGCUCACUCCUACCCGCUGCUAAGCCCUUUUAUUAUUAUUACCCUACUGGCUCCCAUAAUGCUGUUAUUAGAUGGGCGGGAUAGCCUCCUUUUUGUGGAUCAGGAAUCCAAGACCCAAACGGGAGUCUCAAGGUCACGCAGAGAGCAGCAGUGUGUGCUGGAGGGUACGGUAGGACUCAGGAUCCUUCACGAGGAAAACUGUGUCCAGUUUUACAACACGUUUUGGCAGCGUAAGAAAUACUCCCUUCCUUAAAACCUUUCAGGACUGUAGCACAGAGUACUGUUUAUCCAUUCUCCCCUCCUUCCUCAGUAAUAAGGCAUCUGUGUUUUAACUAGGCACAUGAGCACCUGGAAUAAAGACUGCAUUCCCCAGCCUCCCUAGCAGGUGGUGUGGCUACAUGAUUCAGUUCUGGCCAGUGAGGGUAAGUGAAAAUGACACGGACUCUGAAAGGGAGAAAAACCUUCUGCUUUCUACCUUUGGAAGGCAGUUGCCAUGUAAGAAGGAGUAGUAGCCUGAAGCCACCAUACUGUGCGAAGCCCAAGCCCGGUGGAGAAGGCCUGGAGGAUGUAACCCCACGUGAAGAGGCAGGGGCCAUCCUCAGAGCACCGAGCCUCCUGCUGCGGAGGGAGCCAUCUUGGUCAUCCAGCCCGGACGAGCCUUCGGAUGACUGCAGGCCCAGCCACCAGCUGAUUGCCACCUGUGAGACUCAGAGCAAGACCUCCCCGCUGAGCCCAGCCCAAGAACAAACUUAUAAGAAGUAAUAAUAAAUAGUUGUUAAAAGCCAUUCUGUUUUGGGUGGUUUGUUAUGCAGCAUAGAAAAUGUGAACACUGGCACAGAGCAAGUGGUUGGUAAAUAUUUGUUGAAUGAAUGAUGGAUAGAUUCUAUUCUUUUCAUUCUUUGCUGGAACAUGGAGGUCCACAGUAAUUCUGAGACAGACCUAGAACCAGAACGUCUUCCAGGGUGGAGCUCUGGCUCUGGGCCGUGCUUCCUGGAGGCCUGUGAUUAAAUCCUUGCAAGACAAAUGCAAUAUGACGGCUUCUCCUGCAGGCGUGGAUCCAGGAUGUUGAGGAUACAACAUGGGAGAAGAGACUGGGGGAGUCAGCAGGUUGUCCUUGGCCUCUUUGCUCUGUGGCAUGUGCCAUCGUUAAACCACCAUGCACACAGCUAAAACAGCUGAACAAAGAGUGAGAUGGGCAGGAAGUGAGGACGUUCUUGAGAUGCAAAACAAUGGAGGUGAGACACAAUGUCGAUCACAGCCACGGCUAUCUCUGGGCAGUGGCGUUACAGGUUAAUUAAAAAUAUUUUCUUCCUUUUCCUCAUCUGCAUUUUCUAAACACCUUUCAAAGCAUGUCUUACUGUUUUACUAAAAAUAAGAACUAGGGCCAGCCCCGUGGCCCAGUGGUGAAGUUCAUGCUCUCUGCUUCAGCAGCCCAGGGUUUCAUGGGUUUGGAUUCUGGGCGUGGACCUAGCACUGCUCAUCAAGCCAUGCUGAGGUGGCGUCCCACAGAACAGAACUAGAAGGACCCACAACUAGGAUAUACAUCUAUCUACUGGGGAGCUUUGGAGAGAAGAAGGAAAAAAAAGAAAAAAAAAGAAACAUUUUUAUUUAAAGACUUUAGUUGUGCUGUGAACUUUGCAGAAGGCAAAAACAACCCAACCAAACUGAAAUAGACAAAACAACCAAACGAAAACCCAGGCUCCAAAAUUGCAUUCUCAGCAGCCAGUCACUUUUUUCUUUUUUUUUGGUCUCAAAGGCCAUUAUUUCAGGAAAUAAAGAAAUAAGCAUAUCGCAAAGUAUCUUAUAAAUGAUAAAUGAGAGUGAGCAUCAGAAUGGGGUGACAAGUGGGUGGCAGCAUCUGGAAACCAGGUGCAGAGCUUGCCCCCAUCUUUAUUUUUCUGUGGAAUAUUUGGCUUGGGUCAUCGAUGCCCAAUCCAGCAGCAUCCUAGACUCAUCAAACCCUCUGAUUUAUAAUUAUCCAGAAUUAGCUUGCCCUUUGGAACCUAUUUUUGGUCAUUAUGCUCAUUUGUGUGAUUAAUUAUACCUUAUCAAGAGACCAAGAUAUAUUCUCUGAAAACAAAACCUUUCCAGAUUUGGGGGGAGUAAUUUCCAGCUCAGUCAGCUCCAGAACCGUUUAACACUGAGUCACCAGCAGAGAAUCACUGCUCCCAAUGUGGGCAGCUCAGGAUUUGGAAAUCUGCUGAGGAAAAAGAAAUUAAAACUAGAAAAAGGAGCUUGGGAAUAACUCUGCCUUUUCAGUUGGGGUCUCCCAGAGUUCUCCUAAGGGCGAGUUCCUGACUGUUUCAUCUCAUUUCAUUCCUCAGGCAUUUAUUGACUCCUGCUUGAAUGUCAGGAGCUGUUUGGGCCACUGGCUCCCCAUGACACAUGUCAUUCAUUCACUCAUCAAUUCAUUCAGUAUGAAUUUAGUGAGCACUUGAUAUGCACCAAGCAUCGCUCUAGUCUACAUUCCUGUGUUAUAUCAAUGAACAAAACAGACAUAAAUCCCUGUCCUGGUCAAAAAUUACAAUAAAACUUACACAUAAGAAAAUGAUAUUGUGUGUUAGAAGGUGGCAAGAACUAUGGAAAAUAAGAAAACAGAAACAGAGUAAGGGGCAUCAGGAGGAUGGUGGUGGUGUGUGUGUGUGAGUGCAAUUUUGCAGUUGUUAAAUAGAGUAAUGUAGUGGGUUGAAUAAUGGCCCCCAAAAAGAUAUGUCUGAAUUCUAACCUCUGGAACCUAUGAAGGUAACCAUAUUUGGAAAAAGGGUCUUUACAGAUGCAAUUCAGUUAAUGGUCCUGUAUUAGCCAGGAUUCUCCAGAGAAACAGAACCAAUAGGAUAUAUCUAUAUCUAUAACUCUAUCUAUCUAGAUAUAUACAAGAGGAGACAUAUUGUAGGAAUUGACCUACGCAGUCUUGGAGGCCAAGAAGUUCCAACAUCUGCUGUCUGGAAGCUGGAGAACCAGGAAAGCUGGUGGUAUAAUUCAGUCGGAGUCUGAAGGCCUGAGAAUCUGGGGGCUGAUGGAGUAAGUCCUGAUCUGAGUCCAAAAGCCCAAGAACCAGGAGCGCCGAUGUUCAAGGGCAGGAGAAGACAGAUAUGUCUCUGCUGAAGCAGAGAGAAAGCAAAUUCACCUGCCUCUACCCUUUUGUUCUAUUUGGGAUCUCAAUGGAUGGGACGAUGCCCACCUGUAAUGCGGAGGGCCAUCUGCUUUACCCAGUCUACCAAUUCAAAUGCGAAUCUCUUCCGGAAACACCCUCACAGACACACUCAGAAACGAUGUUUUACCAGCUAUCUGGACAUCCCUCAGUCCAGUCAAGUUGACACAAAAAAUUAACCAUCACAGGUCUUGAAAUGAGAUCAUCCUAGAUUAUCCAGGUGGGCCCUAAAUCCGAUGACAGGUGUACUUAGAAGAGAAAAGGCAGAGGAAGGUUUGAGACACAGGCACAGGUAAAAAGUCGAUGACAGAGACUGGCAAGUCAAGGAAUACUUGCAGCCACCAGAAGCUGGAAGAAGAAAGGAAGGCAUCCCCCCCAGAGACUGUGGAGUGUGGCUGUGUCAUCACCUUGACUUCGGGCUUCUGGCCCCCACGCUGUUAGAAAAUAAAUGUCUCUUGUGUUUUAAGGCACCAGUUUGUGGUAAUCUGUGUUUGUAGUCCUAGGAGCAAACACAAACGGUCAGAGUAGGUUUCAUGGAAAAGUGACAUUUGAGUGAAGUCUUAAGGAGAUGGGGAGAUGAGCUGUGUGAGUAUCUAGGGGGAGAGCUGUUUGUGUAUAGGGAAUGGCCCACUCUCAGGGCAGUGUGCCUGGUGUGUGUGGAAUGACACAGCCUCCGCCUGUGUGGCUGAAGCAGGAGGGGUGAAAGGGAGGGGAGUAAGAGGAGACAAGGACAGGGAAGUAACAGAGGGACCAAAGGAGGCUGACAGAACAUGCAGGGCCUCUGAGGGUGUUUUAAAACCUUUGGAAUAAUGGUGCAUGUGGAAUUAACCAUCAAAACACCACUACUGAGCAUCUGUUACAUGACUAGUACUGUGGCGGGUUCUUCAUGUACUUGAUCUCAGCUAUUCCUCUCAAAGACUUCAUGAGGAAGGUUGCAUUCCCUUAACUUCAUGUAUGGGAAGUUCUGCAUUAUCUACACACAGUUGCAUAAUUAGAGAGUAGUGGAGCUGAACCCCAGAGCCAGUCUCCUCUGCCCCAAAGCCCACACUCUUCCUACCCAUCACACAGUCUUGCAAGCACAUGCACCAUAAGGGAUGAGAAGGGAACUUCCUCAAUCUAAUAAAGGACAUCUACAAAAAAGCUACAGCUGGCAUGGUACUUAAUGACGAAACACUAAAUACUUUCCCCUCAGGAUUAAGAACAAGGCAAGGUUUUCCAGCUUCUGUAUUCUUGUUCAACAUCAUAUUGAAAGUCCUAGUCAGUGCAAUAAGGCAAGAAAGAGAAAUGAAGGCAAACAGAUUGGAAAGGAAGAAAUAAAGCUGUCCCUGGUUGUAAAUUACAUGAAAAUCCAAGGAAUCUUUUUUUUUUUUUUUGAGGAAGAUUAGCCCUGAGCUAACUGCUGCCAAUCCUCCUCUUUUUGCUGAAGAAGACUGGCCCUGAGCUAACAUCCAUCUUCAUCUUCCUCUACUUUAUAUGUGAGAUGCCUACCACAGCAUGGCAUGCCAAGUGGUGCCAUGGCUGCACCCGGGAUCCGAACCGGCAAACCCCGGGCUGCCGAGAAGUGGAACGUGUGCACUUAACUGCUGCGCCACCAGGCCAGCCCCCAAGGAAUCUGAUUUUUAAAAAAAUUUCAAGAACUAAUAAGUGAGUUUGGUAAGGUUGUAGGAUGCAAAGUCAGCACACAAAAUUCAAUUGUAUUUCUACAUGCUAGCAAUGAACAACUGGACACCAAAACUUUUAAAAAAAAUAUCACUUAUAAUGGUUACCCACAAAAUUAAAUACUUAGGUAUAAAUCUAACAAGACAUAUAUAAGGUCUGUAUGAACACUAAUGGAUGAAAAAAAAUCAAAGAAGACCUAAGUAAAUAGAGAGACAUACCAUGUUCAUGGAUUGGAAGACUCAACACAGUAAAAAUGUCAGUUUUUCUCAGAUCGAUUUAAUGCUGUUCCAAUCAGAAUCCUAACAGAAUUUUCAAAAAAUAUAUAGAUAAGCGGACUUUAAACUUUAUAUGGAAAAUCAAAGAACUAGAACAGUCAAAACAAUUUUGAAAAAAAAAAAAUUUGCAGGAAUUAUACUAUACAAUUUAAAGACUUAUUCUAAAGUCUACAAUCAUCAAAGCAGUGAAGCAAUUAGCAAUGGGUCUAUUAAUAAAGUGAUAGACACAUAAAUUAAUAGGACAGAAUAGAAAGUCUAGAAAUAGAUGCACACAAAUAUGGCCGAUUGAUUUUUUGCAAAGGUAAUUCAAUGGAGAAAGGAUAUUCUUUCAACAAAUGGGGUUUGGACAAUAGGACAUAUAUAUGCAAAAGAAAAAGAAAGAGAAAACAGAAAAAGCAGAAUAAAACGAAAUUCACCCUAACCCUCACAGCUUAUACAAAAAUUAACUGGAAAUGGUUCAUAAAUGUUAAGGUAAAACAUAAAGUUAGACUUCAGUGGAGUGGAGUCAUAGAACAAACUGGAAAUUGGGUCCUUUCACGUCACUACAUUAAAAAAAAGAAAAGAAAAUUUACCCCCUUUAAUUUGGAAGAACAAAAGGAAGUGAAAGAAAGGAAAAAAUGCCGGGAAAGAAACUGGUGAAUGACAUGGAGGAAUGUGGUCUGGGGAUCUGCUAGGGAACACGAACUCUGCAGAAUAGCAGUGUACUGACAGACAGACAGACAGCCUUUGAACCCAGGCUCGUUCACUCGUUUGUUCAUUUGUUCAGACAUUGAUCGAGCCCCUCUUGUAUCUGAGAUGCUAAGUAUACAACAGUGAACAAACUAGACACCAUCUUCUUCUGUACCUCAUGAAGAUUACACUGAAGCACGGGAAACAGGCUUGAAACUAAUAACCUAAAACACUAAUAAUUAGAUAACAACAACUAGUGAUGAGUGUUAUGAAAGAAAACAGGGCACCCUGCUAUGAAAGAGAAGAAAAAAGACCUACUUUAGGCUGGGUGGGGGUCAAGGCAGGUCUUUCUGAGAAGGAGUCAGAGAAGGAUGAGUAGGAAGAAGCCAGGACAAGAUGGAUGGGGAUGGGGCUCCAGGUAGCAAGAGCCUUCAUAGAGGGCUCAGGUGGAAGGAACUGGUUGAACAUGAGGGACAGGAAGGAAGCCCUGGUGGAUGGUGGAGGGGGAAGGGAGGGUGCGGCAUGAGAUGCGACUGGAGAGGAUAUUGACAGGCUUUUAUCCAAGGGAGUGACGUGAUUCAACAUACAUUUCAAAAGAUGAUCCUGGCUACGUAUGAAAAGUGGUCUACUGGUAGAGAGGAAGGCAGGGGAAAUAGCUGGAAAGUCUUUACAGUGGUCCGUGGUGGCCUUAUAGGUGGGAUGUCAGUGGAGAUGGAGAAAAGUGAACAGGUCUGAGAGAUAUUUUGGAAGUAGUAGUGUGAACUAUAUGAAAUUUUCAAUAUUUGCCUAAUUUUUACUUACAAAAGUGGCAAUUUCCUAUGAUGUGGCCUAAUAGAAUUGGCAGGACUUGGUAAUGGACUGGAUUUGGAGGGUGAAGAAGAGGAAGACGUCAAGAAUGACCUCCAUGUUUCUGGCUUUAGUGACAGAGUAUGUGGAAGCGCCCUUUACUGAGAUGGGAAGGAGGGACGGGGGUGGGGUUAUGGGCUCGGGUGGAAGAAGUUCAGUUUACAGACGUGAGGCUGGAGACACCUGUGUGAUCUCCGGAGAGAGGCACCAGUGUGGCAGUCGGAUCUAUGAUUUGGGAGCUCAGGAGAAUUCCAGCUAAGGUACGUAUGUAGGGUUCAGCAUAUUAGAUGAUAACUAAAAACAUGGAAGUAGAUAAGCUCUAGGAGAAAGUUCAGAAUGGGAAGAGCAGAGGGCCCAGGAGCUCCAACCUUUAGAGGCUGGGUAUAGGAGGAGCAGCAAGAAAAGGAAGGAGUCAGAGACACAGGAGGAAAACCAGGAGAGGGUGGUGUCAGGGAGGCCAAGAGAGGAGCAGUGUGAACCCGGGAGAGAGUGGUCGAUUGCGUUGAAUGCUAUUGAGGGGUCUCACAAGAUGAGAUAAUGAUCACGUAUAGUUUAAAAUCCAAGCUGAGAAAAUAUGUCAGCUACUUUUUCCAGUGAGCAAUUUCAAAAACAGAUUUCACUGUACAUAAAAAAUAGAAUCAGUAACACCACAGACAGGAAGCAUUACAAUUGGUGUUGACGGGUCUAAUAACACGAACACUUACCUCAUAUUUGUUCUGUGCCAGGCACUGUUCUAAGUAUUUAUAUAUUCACUCAUGUAAGCCUCACAACCACCUCGGAGAUGGGCAGGCUUACCCCUGUUUACGAAUGGGGCAAGGGUAAAUAACGCCCCAAUCACAAGGCUAGUGUGAGGGGCCUGGGGCUGGAUCCGGGCAUUCUGGCCCUGAGCUUAGUGCUCAUAAGUAUAACACUCUCAUUAAGGCUUGGCAGAUUCCUCAACAAACGUGAAAGCUGUUUGAAAAGAAUUACAGUGUCACAGUUGAUGCAUACAGACAGCUGCCAAAGGUGAAUUCAUUUUCAGUUUUAAGUUUUAGUGCAUUUCCGUGUGUGUGUGAUGUAACUUCUCUAAUCCUGAGCAGAUCGGUUGCCACACGUGGCAGAUUGUUUCCAAGAUGGUUAGAAAAAUAUCUCCCAUCCAGUGUGCCUUUGCUUCUCCUCCGUCAAGAGUGGGGUCUAGGGCCGGCCCGGUGGCGCAGCGGUUAAAUAUGCAUGUUCUGCUUCUUGGCAGCCUGGGGUCCGCUGGUUGGGAUCCUGGGUGAGGACAUGGCACCGCUUGGCAAACCAUGCUGUGGUAGGCGUCCCACAUGUAAAGUGGAGGAAGAUGGGCACGGAUGUUAGCUCAGGGCCAGUCUUCCUCAGCAAAACGAGGAGGAUUGACAGCAGAUGUUAGCUCAGGGCCAAUCUUCCUAAAAAAAAAAAAAAGGAAGAGUCUAUUUCCCUCCCCUUGGAUCUGGGCCAUCCUCUGUGACUUGCUCCAGCCAGUUAGACUAUGGUGGAAAUGAUGUUCUGGAACUUCCAAGCCCAGGCCGUCAGAUGCUUUUUGCUUCUGCUUUCACUGAGGGGAAGCAGCCUCCACAUAGAGAAGUGAGGCUAUUCUGCUGGAGGGACAGGACGCCUGGAGAGAGGCCCUGGAGGACAAGACAGAAUGAAUCCAGGGAGGCCACAGGGGAAGUCCGAGCUCGUAGGUAGCAGCGAGGCCCCAGACAGAGGGGUGAGGCUGUCCUGGAUCUGACAGCCCUGCUGAACUCUUAGGGAAAUGCAGCCGCAGGAGUGAACCAGCCAACACCAUGUGAAGUAGAGUCUUCACUGAGCCCUGCCCGAAUUCCUGACCCACAGAGUCAUGAGCAAUAAUAAAUGGUGGUUCUUUUAAGCCACUGAGUGCUGGGUGAUCUGUUAUGCAGCAACACCUAACCGGUCAAGUCCAUCUGCAUCCUCGCUCUCUGUUCCUGGGGAAUACCUGAGGUCCAGGUAGAGCCGUUUACUUUGAGUCACAAAUUUACAGAAGUCCUGGAAGGCCUGGGCUAGACCCUCUCUCUGUCUCCAUUUGGCUUCACGGACCCAAUAAAGGAGAUCCAGCUCUGUUAACAGCUACUUCUCUGACAUCAAAAUAUCAGUGGAUUUCUUUGGAUGGUGUAGUUAUAGGUAAUUUCCUGCAUUUCUCAAUUUUUCUGGAAUUAGCAAAAAUUGCUUCAAUAAUGUGGAAAGAGAUGCUAUGGCUCUCUUCCACACUAUGGCAACUACUAUUGGUAGGCUGCAGAGCGGCCAUCCCCAAUCCUUUUCUUCUUUCCCAUUCGGCCUUAAAGAGCCAGGUCCUCAUUUUUCUAGUCUCCCUUGCAGGUAGAGAUGAUCUUGUGACCAAAUACGAUCCAAUAAGAUACAAAGGUAAGUCUGAGGGGCUUCUGGGCAAGAAUUUUCCUUUCCAGACCAAAAAAAAAAAGAAGAGCUACACAGGAGACCUCUUUCUUGCUCUCCUCCCUCUGCUCCCUACCUUUGGAUGUGGUCACCUAACUUGGUGAUGUCUGGAGCUCCUGCAGCCAUCUUGUAACCAUAAGGCAAUAAAUCCACAGUUGGAAAAAAGUCUUCUCCAAAAAAAAAAAAAUGGAACAGAAGGAUGGAAAGCACCUGGCUUCUUGAUAGCAUGAUUAGUUGCUGAACCAAUUGGGAGACUUCCUAUCUCUUGACUAUUUGUUAUCUAAUUGACAAAUGUAAUUAUGGCUUAAACCACUGUUAGUUUUUUUUUUUUUUUACUUACAGCUGAAAGCAUUCCUAGCUGAUGCAAUAACCCUGUGGGUAUUUAACACUCCCUUACUAGUACUCAGUUUUCCCAUGUGGCUAAAUGCAAUUUCUCCCUUUGUAAAUUAAUCCUUUUCUCUCUUACUUUGUCUCAGUGGAAACAAAGACUUGCUGGUAACCAAUCUUUGCCUAAUUAAACCUUUUAGAUAUGUAAUAGCUCUUGUUAAGAGUUAAUCUUUAGUUACCCCACAAUCCAGUUUGUGGGACCCAUUUGCCUACCUUUAGCUGUGAUGGUGGUAAUGUCACUACCUGGUGGCUUUGGCAGUAGUGGAUAGGUGGCAUGUGUCCUGCUGCUUUCCUUCUUAGCCUCACUGAGCAGCACAGAAUCAUGCCCUCACCAGUCACUACACCCCCCACACAGGAAGGUACCCUCAGGAAGGGCGAGGUCUGCCCAAGUCUGCCAGAAGCAAAGAUAAAGGAAAACUCAGGUCAAUCUCAGCCACAACGACCUAAACUAGUUUUCUGUUUUUAUUUUAACUUUGUAUUAUGGCAAUUUGAAACAUAUACAAAAAUAGACUAUACAAACAUACACAUACACAAAAAUAAAUGUAUACAAAAAAUAGAAGUGUGUUACAAACCUCUGUGUACCUAGCACUCAGCUUCAACAAUUAAUAAUUUGUGACUUUCUUUUUUAUGCUGUCCUCCUGCCCACCUAACUACCUCCCAUAUUAUUUUGAAGCAAAUCCCAGACAUUGUAUCAUUUUAUCUAUAUUCAUUUCAGUAUGCAUCUCUAAAAGCUAACAAUUCUUUUAAAAGUAUAACCACAAUAUUAAUAGCACACAAAAAUAAUUCGUUAAUAUCAUCAUUAUUCAGUCAAUGUUCAAAUUUCCACUAAUUAUCUUUUAAAAAUUGGUUGUAUAUAAUUUUUUUAAAGAUUUUAUUUUUCCUUUUUCUCCCAAAGCCCCCCGGUACGUAGUUGUGCAUUUUUAGUUGUGGCUCCUUCCAGUUGUGGCAUGUGGGACGCCACCUCAGCAUGGCUUGACGAAUGGUGCCAUGUGCGUGCCCAGGAUUCAAACUGGCGAAACCCUGUGCCACCAAAGCGGAACACACGAACUUAACCACUCGGCCAUGGUGCCGGCCCCUCAUUUUUAUAGUUGACAGAAAAGUAGCACAUACUCAAUGAAGAACUUUUGCAAAAUAUAAAAAAACACAUAGAAGAAAAUUUCUACUCACUCAUCAUCCCCAGAGCUGACUCCAGUCUGUAUGGUGCCAUGUAUGAUUAGAAAAAGAUGGACCUUCCCAGCAGGCACAGCCCAGUGCCAGGAUGGCAGCCACUGCUUGUUCUCUGGGGCAGACGCCAUGGAGCCUUGCACGUACUGGGCUGUUGCAUGUUCACAGCGCUGAGUGUUUCAUCAAUGUUUACAUUUUGGAGUACAGCCUUCCAGAUUUUCUAUGGAUAUACACACAAUUUUUACGGAAUUCUUUUCAUACUGUACAUUCUGUUUUCUAAGCAGUUUUUUUUUACUUAACAGCAGACCAUAAACAUUUUGCCAUGUCAUUGAAUUUGCUUCCAAAGCAUGACUUUCUGUGGCUGCCUUGGGGGGCAUUGCACGGCUGUGCCACCACUCAUUUAAGCAGUGGCCAAUUGUUUAGACCUAUGGUCCUUAGAGUGCGGUGCCUGUCUUUGGGAGGUAAAACACAGGCGAAAAUAUCGUGUCCUUCUUGGGAGGAACAUUAGAACACGCAGGGGAGUUUCUGCACAUGCAUUGCACGAUCAUGAAGUUUCAAUUGGUUCCACCCAUGGGUUUGGGAAGAAAGCAAAGGUAUGGUUCCACUUAACUCAACUCACGCCUUGUGGGGCAGGGUGAGCUAUCCGUUGGCAUGUUUAGAUUCCCAGAGCGGUUCCACAGUAAACAAGAGACUUCAGUGAAGAGCAGUGAGGCAAGGAAAUAGAACAUAUCUAUUAGGACAGUCACUCUCAAAGUUACACAACCAGGAAAUUAGGGCUUGGGCAACCAGCCGCAGCCAAUGUGUGAGGUUGACAGAAGGCAGCGGGCAUGAGGGUUUUCUCAGACCAGUGUUGCUGGGUGUUAGAAACCCAGCCAUAACUGAUUUCAAGCCACCAACUAAUGCUUUGUAAGAUGCAUCAUUACAGACUGAAGGCAUGGGGCAAUGGAUUCUUGGAGAAAUCAGCAGCUCAUAAUCUCCAUCUCUUGAGAAUUAAGAAAAACAUCAAGGUUAAUUGCAAAGCAUCCAUUUGCCCAAACCCAAGGCCCACAGUCAGCCCUAAGCCACAGUAUUUUCUUUUCUUUUCUUUGAGGAAGAUUAGCCCUGAGCUAACCACUGCCAGUCCUCCUCUUUCUGCUGAGGAAGCCUGGCCCUGAGCUAACAUCCGUACCCAUCUUCCUGUACUUUAUAUGUGGGAAUACUUCCACAGCAUAGGGUACCAAGUGGUGCCAUGUCCACACCUGGGAUCUGAACCGGCGAGCCCCGGGCCACCGAGGAGUGGAACCUGCGCACUUAACCACUGCGCCACUGGGCCAGCCCCAUAAGCCACAGUAUUUUCUACACCAGCUCUUAUCUUCUUUAUGGAAUCCACUGAAUCAAAUGACUCAGUUUAACGGAGUCAUUGCGACAGGGUGAGGUCAGAGGGCAGAUGUAAACCAGGAAUUCCUAACCCCAGAGGCCACUCCCAUGGGUCAUAGAGUUUGGUAAGUACUUCAAAAUCCCUGAGAUGGGAAGGCCACUUAAAUGGAAAUGAUCAGAAUUAGGUAGGUCAGCCUAAAGAAGGAUUAAGAGGAAAAGUCCCUCUGAUUUUACAUCGACUCAUAAAUUCAAGUUUAAAAAUUGAUAAGGAGUCCAUAUCAUUGAGCCUUGGUAAAGGGCAUUUCUCAGGAAAAGCGGAGGCGCAGAGCGUCGGGUCUUCCUCAAAGAUGACUUGCACACUGCAAUGACCUGCUAAAGGGGAGCAGCCUUCCUGAGCCUCUUCAUGAGGAAGUUGAAGCAGACCCUCCGCUCUCCUCAAAUGAUCAGGGCCCCAGUUAACCCCAGAAGUGACCCAGGCA